UGCUGAUCGAUUGAACAAAGAUUGCUAACUAAAUUUCCAUAACUAAAAGUAAAUUAUUACAUUAGUUUUACUUAAUAAAGUGAUCUAUCACUUUGAAUCCAAUGUAAAUUAGGACUCCUUAACCGCUGGGAUUUACCAUAAGUCAGUAGGACAAAUUAUGAUUGGUUUGAAAGCGCUAAUAUACAUUAUUUUAAUUGCAUGUAAAAUGCUAAUGAAGUCCUAAAUUAAAAGGGAAAAUAUUUAAGUAUUAUUUUUUAUAUAUUAUGCUUGGAGUAACGAGGGCUAAUUAAGGCUUUGUUGGGUUUUUGAGUAUGGAUGUUUCUCUUUAUAAGUUCGUAUAAUAAUAAUUAUGUGUGUUUUUAGGGUAAAUACAUCGUGUUGUAUGCUUGAUUAAUUGCGAUGCCUUUGGUCUAAUUGUCUUGUUGGCUAUUGCAUUGUUUAAUCAUAUUACGUUUGUUGUUUGUUUGGUGCUUCUCCUAAGAUGAGAUAAUAGAAAAAUUGUCAUUUACUAUGUUCCUAAAAUUAUUAUAUAAUUAUAUUUAUAAAGUAAUAAUUAUUUUUUUGGUGAUAGAAUAAAAAAUCGUCGUCUAUGUACAGUCGGAUUUUCGUUUAUUAGCGUAUUGAUUUUAUUAUUGAAUAUUUGGAUUCAAGUUAGGUUUAGAUUAUCUAAACCACCAUAAGUGUAGGAUUCUUUUAUUAUCAAUUAGUAUUUGUAUCUUCUUUUUGUUUAGUGUCAUAGCGAACAAGUAAAGAAGUAAUGGCCAAACGAAGUUGUUCAAGGCGGGCAUCCAUCCUUCCAUUUGUCAAACGCAUCCUCCGAACCAAAGUUAAUUAACUCGAAAGGAGAAGAGCGUUUGGGGAAGGCGGGUAUCCAUUUUUCCAUUUGAUCAAAGGCAUAUGAGUCGGAGUAAUUCAAUUAACUCAAAAGGAAAGAGCAUUUGUCUGAGAUAAAUUUACUUGUGAUCUAAGGUUUCUAAAAUUUAAAACUAAGAAAGUUGAGGAGCUGACAACUUCUAUAAAAGAAGUCACUGUUCUACAUUGCUUAUCAUGAAUGUCAACGAAUAACUCUCAAGCCAUAGCGAACAAGUUAAGAAGGAAUGACCGAAGGAACUCACUAAAGGUGGGUAUCCAUUCUUCCAUUUGAUCAAAGGCAUCCAAUUAAUUCAAUUAACUUGAAAUGAGAAGAGCGUUUGGCGGAGUUAAAUUUGUUUGUGAUCUAAUGUAAGAUUAUGUAAUAGUAGAUGGUUGUGCAUUUUUUAUAAGCAAUUGUAUAUUGAAAGACUGU
Lycium barbarum (goji berry) is the source of this 1285-nucleotide long non-coding RNA. RefSeq lists it as uncharacterized. The transcript has 3 exons. The record is from RefSeq and is a predicted model, not a curated record. Lineage: Eukaryota; Viridiplantae; Streptophyta; Magnoliopsida; Solanales; Solanaceae.